AAAAAAAAAAAACCUAAUUCGGCACUUUUAGCCUUCAAUCUUUGAGGCUUGGCUAAUGAAAUUAAGUUAAUGAAGUAAUGGAAAAUUAUGUCCAAUGCCCAAUGGAAUUUGGAAUUAACUAAUGGAAAAUUAUGGAUUUUCAAUAAUAUUUCAUCUGUAGCUAUUGAUAUAUAAUAUUUCAAUGCCCAAUAUUUCAUCUGCUGUUACUAUGCAACUAUAGGGGUCAAAAAAUAUUUCACAAGGAUAAAUUUACAAACCUAUAUUGGGGUCAAGGGAUGCCAAUGCCUCCACAUUGGCUCCGCUAGUGCAUCUAUGUGUUCACAAUAUGGUUAAUAUUGUGCUUAUAAAAAAAAUAUAUUGUUAAUAUUUCACAGCCACGAUACUGGAGAGACGGCAAAGUUCAGGAACUCGUCGGAUGACAUGCUUGGACUCAUAGAGGUGGAGCUUCCUUGUUAUGUCCUAGAGAUCCGUUUUUCCUGAGAUGAGCUUUGGUAGAUUGGUGGAAUGUGCCUAUAUGGAGAACAAACCUAGAAACAAUUAUGUGAGAUCUAAUAGAAGCAAUUAGAAUCAAAACCCAAGUGAGAGAAAAAGAGAGUGAAGCAAAAUGGGAUUCACAAUGGGUCUGCUGCUCCCGAUGGCCAUAGAAAAUGGAGCAAAUUAAAAUAUAGAAAUGAACGAAUGAGAUGCAUUUCUUUGGGUCAGAUCGUAGGUAGCUUCAUGUUUGACGAAUCAAAUCCAUGUUCAACCCCUAAGAAGUCUUAUUCUAGUCCACUGUUGUGUGAUUCAUAAAUCAACAAAUCAUAUGAAUGAAUAAGAUUAACAUUUAUAUUCAAAUUUGUGAGAUCUAGGAGAAGCAUCCAGAGAGCUAGA
This 870-nucleotide long non-coding RNA is filed under the name Malus domestica (apple). Its description in RNAcentral is "long non-coding RNA (MDOM_LNC014267)". The record is from RNAcentral. Lineage: Eukaryota; Viridiplantae; Streptophyta; Magnoliopsida; Rosales; Rosaceae.